CCUGGUGUUAUGAUGAUACCCCAGCACAACGCAUAGUUCAUCUGAAUUCUAUGAUGAAAACUUUCCUUAUUAGUCUUUCGCUCCCAUCUGACUACACCACU
Colletotrichum salicis is the source of this 101-nucleotide small nucleolar RNA. It matches the Rfam family "Small nucleolar RNA snR60/Z15/Z230/Z193/J17". From Rfam's summary of the family: The members of this family belong to the C/D class of snoRNAs which contain the C (UGAUGA) and D (CUGA) box motifs. Most of the members of the box C/D family function in directing site-specific 2'-O-methylation of substrate RNAs. Lineage: Eukaryota; Fungi; Ascomycota; Sordariomycetes; Glomerellales; Glomerellaceae. The record is from Rfam.